UCUCUGUUCACGGGAUUGAUUGGCAUUAGCGGCGAUGAAGGACGUGGCUGAGGACGAUAUGCGUUGUUGUUUGGG
Molecule: ribosomal RNA, 75 nt
Filed under: Encephalitozoon sp.
Lineage: Eukaryota; Fungi; Microsporidia; Unikaryonidae
Description: partial 5.8 ribosomal RNA
Source: RNAcentral